CGAGAAAGCCCGCAAGGGUGAGUAAGGCGGCGCACGGGUGCGUAACACGUGGGUAAUCUGCCCUGAAGUCCGGAAUAACUCGCCGAAAGGCGUGCUAAUGCCGGAUAAGACCACGGGAGCUCCGGCUCCUGCGGGAAAAGGUGGCCUCUGUAUACAAGCUAUCACUUCAGGAUGAGCCCGCGGCCCAUCAGCUCGUUGGCGGGGUAAUGGCCCACCAAGGCUACGACGGGUAGCUGGUCUGAGAGGACGAUCAGCCACACUGGAACUGAGACACGGUCCAGACUCCUACGGGAGGCAGCAGUGGGGAAUCUUGCGCAAUGGGCGAAAGCCUGACGCAGCAACGCCGCGUGUGUGAUGAAGGUCUUCGGAUCGUAAAGCACUGUCGCGAGGGACG
Molecule: ribosomal RNA, 394 nt
Filed under: uncultured Anaeromyxobacter sp.
Lineage: Bacteria; Pseudomonadati; Myxococcota; Myxococcia; Myxococcales; Anaeromyxobacteraceae
Description: bacterial SSU rRNA
Rfam family: Bacterial small subunit ribosomal RNA
Source: RNAcentral